ACCAGCUGACGAGUCUCAAAUAGGACGAAACCUUGUCCUGUAU
This 43-nucleotide non-coding RNA is filed under the name Schistosoma mattheei. The record is from RNAcentral. Lineage: Eukaryota; Metazoa; Platyhelminthes; Trematoda; Strigeidida; Schistosomatidae.